CUUGUAUUCCUGCCUGACUUGAGUGCAUUGUUACACAUGGGUAAAAUCUUUGGUGCUGCAGCAGCUUAAAGAAGAGCUAUGAGAUGCCAGCCAGGAUGUAUGGAUUCAGUGAAUGUGUUUUUUUAUUUUUAUUUGUUUAUUUAUUUUUUGUUUAUUUUUUUUAAAUGAAUGUGUUUUUGAGGGAUGGAGGGGAUGUGGGAGUGUUUGUAGAUAGCAAGAAUGUAGCCAGUAGAGGGGAAUGAUGGAAGAAAAGUGAGAGAUUGGGCAUGAUCUGCUAGAGAAGAUGGGAUGGAAUGCAAUGACUUUUGCUUGUGCAAAUAGAAGGGUUUUCUUUGGCAAGAAGGAGGACUACUUCAUGAGAGACAAGGGUGAAGGAGGAGAAAGUGGAAGAAGGCAUCUGAAUGAGCUACUGUAUCCUGGCAGUUGGUGGAAGCAGUCAUCAAGCAAUCCAGAAGAAGAAAGAGGAAGCAAAGCAGAGAACAGAGAACCGGAAAAAAAGGAGUAUCUAGAAGACUUCACUAUCUACAAAGAAUUCCUAUUUGACCUGGAAUUUGGCCUGGAUCUCCUCCAUCACGGUGGCAAAACCUUUUGCCAGAAGAGCAAGACUGAUGAAAUUCACUUAUGAAUAUGUACACAACAAGGUAAACUUAAAGUAAAUCAAAACAAUUUCAGAAGGGAGAGCGAGCAAGUUGGGGUGAAGUGAGUUAGAUCAGACAGGGUAGUUUAUGAGCUGCACUUUGAAGAUAGCUGGGGAUUUUAAGAGGAUAGAGAGAACAUUCCAGACUCAGGACAUAGAAUAUCUUAUAAGGAAAUAGCCAUUGACUGAAAUGGAGCGUGUGUGAAGGGAAAGAAUAAAUAAGUCUGGAAUGGCA
RNAcentral lists this long non-coding RNA (872 nucleotides) under Monodelphis domestica (gray short-tailed opossum). RNAcentral describes it as "lncRNA (ENSMODG00000033153.2)". Lineage: Eukaryota; Metazoa; Chordata; Mammalia; Didelphimorphia; Didelphidae. The record is from RNAcentral.